AUGCACGCUGGCGGCGUGCCUAAUACAUGCAAGUCGCGCGAACAGACGAGGAGCUUGCUCCUCUGACGUUAGCGGCGGACGGGUGAGUAACACGUGGAUAACCUACCUAUAAGCCUGGGAUAACUUCGGGAAACCGGAGCUAAUACCGGAUAAUAUAUUGAACCGCAUGGUUCAAUAGUGAAAGACGGUUUUGCUGUCACUUAUAGAUGGAUCCGCGCCGCAUUAGCUAGUUGGUAAGGUAACGGCUUACCAAGGCAACGAUGCGUAGCCGACCUGAGAGGGUGAUCGGCCACACUGGAACUGAGACACGGUCCAGACUCCUACGGGAGGCAGCAGUAGGGAAUCUUCCGCAAAGGGCGAAAGCUUGACGGAGCAACGCCGCGUGAGUGAUGAAGGUCUUCGGAUCGUAAAACUCUGUUAUUAGGGAAGAACAAAUGUGUAAGUAACUAUGCACGUCUUGACGGUACCUAAUCAGAAAGCCACGGCUAACUACGUG
This 496-nucleotide ribosomal RNA is filed under the name uncultured bacterium. RNAcentral describes it as "partial 16S ribosomal RNA". It matches the Rfam family "Bacterial small subunit ribosomal RNA", at positions 29 to 507 of the family's 1533-position model. The record is from RNAcentral.